GAAGAGUAGUCCUUUGAAGGACUGUUGGAACAUGCAUGGAGCUGACCACUGUGGACAGCAUGGUAGUGUGCUGCUGGAUCGAUGGUGUCACUCCUUGUUGAGGUUGGGGGUAGAAAGGGAACUCCACAUGAGAAUUCAUUGGUGGUGGGAUCGGUGGAGGCUCCAUUGUCCAGUGGUGUUGCAUGAAAGCAUCCAAAUCCAAUCUCAUUCCCUUCAUUAUUAUUUGUGCCAGAUCCGCCGGGUGUUGUAUCAUCACUACAACUACUUCCUCAUUGAUAUGGAGGUUGAAAGUUCAAGCAUAACCCGCUGGGCCCAUUUCUAGCCAA
This 326-nucleotide long non-coding RNA is filed under the name Capsicum annuum. RNAcentral describes it as "long non-coding RNA (CANN_LNC002915)". Lineage: Eukaryota; Viridiplantae; Streptophyta; Magnoliopsida; Solanales; Solanaceae. The record is from RNAcentral.